This 442-nucleotide ribosomal RNA is filed under the name uncultured bacterium. RNAcentral's name for it is "partial 16S ribosomal RNA". It matches the Rfam family "Bacterial small subunit ribosomal RNA", at positions 338 to 795 of the family's 1533-position model. The record is from RNAcentral.
CCUACGGGGGGCAGCAGUGGGGAAUAUUGGGCAAUGGGCGAAAGCCUGACCCAGCAACGCCGCGUGAAGGAAGAAGGCUUUCGGGUUGUAAACUUCUUUUGACAGGGAAGAGCAGAAGACGGUACCUGUCGAAUAAGCCACGGCUAACUACGUGCCAGCAGCCGCGGUAAUACGUAGGGGGCAAGCGUUAUCCGGAUUUACUGGGUGUAAAGGGGGCGCAGACGGCGAUGCAAGCCAGGAGUGAAAGCCCGGGGCCCAACCCCGGGACUGCCCUUGGAACUGCGUGGCUGGAGUGCAGGAGGGGCAGGCGGAAUUCCUGGUGUAGCGGUGAAAUGCGUAGAUAUCAGGAGGAACACCGGUGGCGAAGGCAUCUCACGAAUCCGCGAUUGACGCUGAUGCACGAAAGCGUGGGUAUCAAACAGGAUUAGAUACCCGAGUAGUC